CUCUCUGAUGAUGAAUAAUAAAGAUAUAACUUUCGUUCUUCUGAGAUUUUUCUAUGCGGAAGAAAAUUAUUGGAGACCUGAACUGAGGAGAC
Molecule: small nucleolar RNA, 92 nt
Organism: Trifolium pratense (red clover)
Lineage: Eukaryota; Viridiplantae; Streptophyta; Magnoliopsida; Fabales; Fabaceae
Product: small nucleolar RNA Z159/U59
Exons: 1
Source: RefSeq, a predicted model, not a curated record